Molecule: ribosomal RNA, 185 nt
Filed under: uncultured eukaryote
Lineage: Eukaryota
Description: partial 18S ribosomal RNA
Rfam family: Eukaryotic small subunit ribosomal RNA
Source: RNAcentral
UGGUGAAGUAAUUUGUCUGAUUAAUUUCGGUAACGAACGAGACCUCCUUCUUAUAUUUUACCUAUUUUCUUUGGUGUGCCAUCCUUUGGGGCUUUUGUCUCUCUGUUUGGUGUGUCUGUGUGGGAAUCUAGAAACAUUUUAUGAGGGACGGCCCACAAUAAGUGGGAGGAAGUGAGGCAAAAACA